RNAcentral lists this ribosomal RNA (252 nucleotides) under uncultured bacterium. RNAcentral describes it as "partial 16S ribosomal RNA". It matches the Rfam family "Bacterial small subunit ribosomal RNA", at positions 524 to 775 of the family's 1533-position model. The record is from RNAcentral.
UACGUAGGGUGCAGGCGUUAAUCGGAAUUACUGGGCGUAAAGCGUGCGCAGGCGGUCUACUAAGACAGGUGUGAAAUCCCCGGGCUUAACCUGGGAACUGCGCUUGUAACUGGUAGGCUUGAGUGUGGCAGAGGGGGGUGGAAUUCCAGGUGUAGCAGUGAAAUGCGUAGAUAUCUGGAGGAACACCGAUGGCGAAGGCAGCCCCCUGGGCUAACACUGACGCUCAUGCACGAAAGCGUGGGGAGCAAACAG